GCUUACGGCCAUACCUACCUUAGGCACGCCCGAUCUCGUCUGAUCUCGGAAGCUAAGCAGGGUCGGGCCUGGUUAGUACUUGGAUGGGUGACCGCCUGGGAAUACCAGGUGCUGUAAGCA
RNAcentral lists this ribosomal RNA (120 nucleotides) under Gadus morhua (Atlantic cod). The record is from RNAcentral. Lineage: Eukaryota; Metazoa; Chordata; Actinopteri; Gadiformes; Gadidae.